This is a non-coding RNA of Equus caballus (horse), 1613 nucleotides long. The record is from RefSeq and is a predicted model, not a curated record. NCBI's taxonomy places the organism in Eukaryota, Metazoa, Chordata, Mammalia, Perissodactyla, Equidae.
UGCUCCCCACGUGCUGGGUGUUAUAUGCAUUGUGUCCUUUAGUUCUAUACAAGAGGUCGUAACAUCGUCCCUGUUUUCCAGAUGAGGAGACUGAGGUUCCGAGAGGCGAACAACUUGCUCACAAGUGGCAGGCCUGGGGCUCCCACCUCCCUCCAUUUGGUGCCAAAACUCAUGUUCUGAACGUGAUUGUGGGCGAGUGCCUUCUCCUCUUCAGGCCUCAGUUUCCCUUUUGUAAAAUGGGUGCGUGGCUCUUCUCCGGAUCAGGAGCCUCCUGGAUUCAUCAUCGGCAGCUUGGACUGAUCAGAGCGGAAGGUCGUUUGGAAGGUAACUCCGUUCCUUUGCAAGUCUUUUCCCCAUAAACCCCUGUUUCAAAGACUCUGGGGACAACAAGGAACAAGAGAGGCGGGCCUUGGGGAAAGGGGUCCUGGACAAACUCCAGCUCUGCUGCUCACCUGCAGUGAGAACGGGCAACGGCUCUGGGACCAUGGGAAAUUCUCCUUAAAUGGCUCCCCGUUCACUAGGGACAAGCCCGGCCCCCUCCCCCAGCCUAAUUCUGAAGUGUGCGGAUUAAACAACUGGGGGAAACGCAGGGCGUGCUGGCUCUCGGUGGAGCCUCCCUCUCCCCCGCCUUGUCGGAAUUCCUGCACACUCUAUGGAAUUCCUACAUAAAGCCCCUUUUUCUUUUCUAUGAGGUCACCACCACGCAGAUGUCUAAGAGAAAGAAAGAAUGGCUCCACGCGGAUCAAGGCCGCUGGAGCUGAAUGUAUUUCAGAUCCCGGCUGCACGGCCUUUCAAUUCCGUUGGCCCCUCGCUCGCCCCCCAGACAGAGCCCAGCUACAGAGGCCAGUCGGGCUUGGGGUGCGGUGAUCCUGCUGGUUGGAGGCCAAGAAGGCCUGGCUAAGAGACCGGGCCUUUGCCACCAGACCACCGGAGAAGCCGUCUGUGGAAAAAUCCAGAACUGGAGACAACGGCAGAGGCUGUGGAUGUGGGUCUGUUUCCACACAGGCAAGUCUUGUUAGAGGGAAAGAUGUCAAAAUGUUAGACCACACUCCAAGUUCAAGUUCCCAAACUGAACGUCACAGGAAAUGACACCACCAACGGAUCUGCCCCAAUGUCAGCUCCCGUCUGAAGUCGAGUCUGAGGAGGCCGUUGGGCUCAGUUUUGGCCAAAGGUUUUGUUUGCUAAGAGAAGAUGUCCAAAGUUCAGUCGCUAAGCUGCUGCGUUGGGAACAGGCGCUUCCAGCCGGCUCUGCAUCCCUUUCAAUGAAAUUCUUCUUCCAUUAACGCCACGGGUUUUUAAAUGCGCCUCUGAGGUCGCCUGCGCAGACACCGAACUCCUAAGACGACAUUUUCCCCUCGGAAAGGCAAGCUGAAUUCUGACCAUUCAGAGAACCAGGGAGCUCCAGACUUUCUAAAGUUUGCCCGAAAGCAAUGAAGGCUUUCGACUGUAGAGAUUUUCAACAUCCACAAAGUCCCCCAAAAAACCUGUCUGUCAAACCUGGAAGGACAGACCUUGGAAGACACUGUCCCAAGUCUCCUGUGAUCAAUCGAUUAUUGUCUUGGGGCUCUCACUUCAAGCCCAGGCUGGAUACAAAUAAAUCAGAUGAGUAUCUA